RNAcentral lists this transfer RNA (69 nucleotides) under Ictidomys tridecemlineatus (thirteen-lined ground squirrel). Its description in RNAcentral is "Spermophilus tridecemlineatus (thirteen-lined ground squirrel) tRNA". It matches the Rfam family "tRNA". From Rfam's summary of the family: Transfer RNA (tRNA) molecules are approximately 80 nucleotides in length. Their secondary structure includes four short double-helical elements and three loops (D, anti-codon, and T loops). Further hydrogen bonds mediate the characteristic L-shaped molecular structure. tRNAs have two regions of fundamental functional importance: the anti-codon, which is responsible for specific mRNA codon recognition, and the 3' end, to which the tRNAs corresponding amino acid is attached (by aminoacyl-tRNA synthetases). tRNAs cope with the degeneracy of the genetic code in two manners: having more than one tRNA (with a specific anti-codon) for a particular amino acid; and 'wobble' base-pairing, i.e. permitting non-standard base-pairing at the 3rd anti-codon position. The record is from Rfam by way of RNAcentral. Lineage: Eukaryota; Metazoa; Chordata; Mammalia; Rodentia; Sciuridae.
GGGAUUGUGGCUCAGUGGCAGAGCACUUGCCUAGCAUGUAUGAGGUGCUGGGUUCGAUCCUCAGCACCA